Molecule: long non-coding RNA, 1691 nt
Organism: Mustela erminea (ermine)
Lineage: Eukaryota; Metazoa; Chordata; Mammalia; Carnivora; Mustelidae
Exons: 2
Source: RefSeq, a predicted model, not a curated record
CUGCCUCUCCAUCUACUUGUGAACUCUGUCAAAAAAAUAAAAUCUUAAAAAAAAAAAGUGCAUUUAUUAUUACAUCACCUCACAUCAUCUCCUCUUAUUAUGGUCUCAGUUACCCGUGGUCAUCUGUGGUCCAGAAGCCGAUGAUCCUCCUGGUGUAUCUUCAGAAUGUCAGUAGUAGCCGAACACUACACCACAGCACCCACGUCAUUCCCUUCACUUCAUCUCCUCACCUAGGCAUUUUACACCUCAGCAUCACAAGGGGAAGGGUGAGUACAGUAUAAUAAGAAAUAUUGUGAGAGAGAAAGACCACAUUCACUAAACUUUUGGUACAGUGUAUUAUAAAUGUUCUGUUUUAUUACUAGUUACUGUUAAUCUCUUAGUAAUCUGCCUAAUUUAUAAAUUAAAGUUGAUCAUAGACGUGUGCAUAGGAGGAAAACAGUAUGAGAGAGAGACUGUAUUCACAUCUUCUAUUACAGUAUAUUGUUAUAAUUGUUCUCUUUUAUUGUUGCUCAUCUGCUGUGCCUAAUUUUAAACUUUAUAUGGGUAUGCAUGUGUAGGAAAAAACAUAGUAUAUAUAGGGUUUAGUACUGUCCACAGUUUCAGGCAUCCAGUGGGGGUCUUGGAAAAUAUCCCCCAUGGAUAAGUGGGGACUUCUGCACAUACUAGUGAGGGAUCUGUGCCUUCAGCUUGAUCAGAUAAUGGCGUGUUUUUCCAAAGUGGCUGAAAUAACUUACAUUCCCACUAAUUCUGGAUGAGAGUUCAUUUUACUUUCUAUUCUUGCCAGCUCUUGACAUUGACAGAGAUAAUUUUUUUUUUUAAACCAAUUUGAUGUGUGUGAAAUGGUAUCUUCUUAUGGUUUUAACCCACAUUUGCUGACAUUCACCAUCCUGUGUUAGUUACCUGAAAUUUUUUUAAAAAAACCCCAAAUUGAAAAAUGCUGAAGUUCUUUUUGUCACACUCAUUCAGCGAUAUUAAGAACAGUUUUCCCUGAAGCAGCUGGUAUCCAACACAUGGAUGUUCACAGCGUGAUUCCCAUACACAGAGCGGAACUUCCUCGGGCUUGUAAAAUGAAGCCAAAGCUGCUGCCAGCCCUGUGAUUCUCUUCAGAACUGGUGGGUUUUUCCUAGAUUGAGUGUGAAUGUGCUGCUGCUUCUAGAAUGGAAGACAAGUACCAAAUAACUUGCAUCUCUCAUGCCUUCUGGAAACUCAUGCCUGGAAGAUAUGGCCACUCAUUCCUAUGCUGUGUGGUGGCCUUUAAGAGGGAGACAGCAACCCGCCAGCCUUCUGCAGAUGACUUGACUGCCGGCCAGGGUGGUGGUGACAAUUUCCUGUCCUAGAAUGAAUUCAAAGGAAAGCAGCUUCUCUUCUGUUUGGGACUGGGAACUCAUAUCAACCUUGAGAGGAAACUCAGGUGAUGAAGGGAAUAAAGCCAUCUCGGAACCCAGACAAGGGAUACGGCUUCAUCCACUCAGCCUCCUAUGCCUGUGUACACACUUUUCUUUGCUGUCCCAGGAUGAAGCCACAUGGGUCUGCAUAGUGUUACUCACCUCCCUGUGACACACUGUGCACAGCGUCUGCAGGUUGUCCAGGGAGCACUGUCCUCCUCCACCAGACACGGGCUUGAUGUGGUCCACCUGCCAGAAAUGCCCUUCUCCUGGGCUUCUUAUCAUUUCAUUAAGCUGCAGUAAGAA